RNAcentral lists this ribosomal RNA (477 nucleotides) under uncultured bacterium. RNAcentral's name for it is "bacterial SSU rRNA". It matches the Rfam family "Bacterial small subunit ribosomal RNA", at positions 365 to 832 of the family's 1533-position model. The record is from RNAcentral.
UUCGCAAUGCCCGAAAGGGUGACGAAGCGACGCCGCGUGGGUGAGGAAGGCCUUCGGGUUGUAAAACCCUGUCAGGAGUUAAGAAAUGUAAGUGCGUUAAUACCGCACUUAUUUGACAAAGGCUCCAAAGGAAGCCACGGCUAACUCUGUGCCAGCAGCCGCGGUAAUACAGAGGUGGCGAGCGUUGUUCGGAAUUAUUGGGCGUAAAGAGCACGUAGGUGGGUUUGCAAGUCAGAUGUGAAAGCCUUCUGUUCAACGGAAGAAUUGCAUCUGAAACUGCUAAUCUUGAGUAUAGGAGGGGAGAAUGGAACUUCUGGUGGAGCGGUGAAAUGCGUAGAUAUCAGAAGGAACGUCGGCGGCGAAAGCGAUUCUCUGGCCUAUUACUGACACUCAGUGUGCGAAAGCUAGGGGAGCAAACGGGAUUAGAUACCCCGGUAGUCCUAGCCGUAAACGAUGGGCACUAAGUAGAGGGGUUUU